GACGAACGCUGGCGGCGUGCUUAACACAUGCAAGUCGAACGGAAAGGCCCUGCUUUUGUUGGGUGCUCGAGUGGCGAACGGGUGAGUAACACGUGAGUAACCUGCCCUUGACUUUGGGAUAACUUCAGGAAACUGGGGCUAAUACCGGAUAGGAGCUCCUGCUGCAUGGUGGGGGUUGGAAAGUUUCGGCGGUUGGGGAUGGACUCGCGGCUUAUCAGCUGGUUGGUGGGGUAGUGGCUUACCAAGGCUUUGACGGAUAGCCGGCCUGAGAGGGUGACCGGCCACAUUGGGACUGAGAGACGGCCCAGACUCCUACGGGAGGCAGCAGUGGGGAAUAUUGCACAAUGGGCGGAAGCCUGAUGCAGCAACGCCGCGUGCGGGAUGACGGCCUUCGGGUUGUAAACCGCUUUCGCCUGUGACGAAGCGUGAGUGACGGUAAUGGGUAAAGAAGCACCGGCUAACUACGUG
This 468-nucleotide ribosomal RNA is filed under the name uncultured bacterium. Its description in RNAcentral is "partial 16S ribosomal RNA". It matches the Rfam family "Bacterial small subunit ribosomal RNA", at positions 28 to 507 of the family's 1533-position model. The record is from RNAcentral.